Molecule: ribosomal RNA, 467 nt
Filed under: uncultured delta proteobacterium
Lineage: Bacteria; Deltaproteobacteria
Description: bacterial SSU rRNA
Rfam family: Bacterial small subunit ribosomal RNA
Source: RNAcentral
GAUGUAGCAAUACAUUGAGUGGCGCACGGGUGAGUAAUGCAUGGGAGAUCUGCCCUUUGGAGAAGGAUAGCCACGGGAAACUGUGGAUAAUACGUCGUAAGCAGUAUGAUAGCGAGAUUGUACUGGAAAGGUUGGGACCGCAAGGCCAGCCGCCGAAGGAUGAGCCCAUGUCCCCAUUAGCUAGUUGGUAGGGUAAAAGCCAACCAAGGCGAAGAUGGGUAGCUGGUCUGAGAGGAUGAUCAGCCACACUGGAACUGAGACACGGUCCAGACUCCUACGGGAGGCAGCAGUGGGGAAUAUUGCGCAAUGGACGCAAGUCUGACGCAGCAACGCCGCGUGAGUGAAGAAGGCCUUUGGGUUGUAAAGCUCUUUCGGCUGGGAAGAAGGGUGGAGGUGUGAAUAGCAUUUCUAUUUGAUGGUACCAGAAGAAGAAGCACCGGCUAACUCCGUGCCAGCAGCCGCGGUAA